Molecule: non-coding RNA, 30 nt
Filed under: Mus musculus (house mouse)
Lineage: Eukaryota; Metazoa; Chordata; Mammalia; Rodentia; Muridae
Source: RNAcentral
UAGACAGUGUGGCCGACAUCAACCGCAGAC